RNAcentral lists this ribosomal RNA (409 nucleotides) under uncultured bacterium. RNAcentral describes it as "bacterial SSU rRNA". It matches the Rfam family "Bacterial small subunit ribosomal RNA", at positions 29 to 482 of the family's 1533-position model. The record is from RNAcentral.
AACGAACGCUGGCGGCAGGCCUAACACAUGCAAGUCGAACGCCCGUAGCAAUACGGGAGUGGCAGACGGGUGAGUAACGCGUGGGAACGUGCCCUUCGGUUCGGAAUAACUCAGGGAAACUUGAGCUAAUACCGGAUACGUCCGUAAGGAGAAAGAUUUAUCGCCGAAGGAUCGGCCCGCGUCGGAUUAGCUAGUCGGUGAGGUAACGGCCCACCAAGGCGACGAUCCGUAGCUGGUCUGAGAGGANGAUCAGCCACACUGGGACUGAGACACGGCCCAGACUCCUACGGGAGGCAGCAGUGGGGAAUAUUGGACAAUGGGCGAAAGCCUGAUCCAGCCAUGCCGCGUGAGUGAAGAAGGCCUUAGGGUUGUAAAGCUCUUUCAGCGGGAAGAUAAUGACGGUACCCGC